CAUAUCAAUAAGCGGAGGAAAAGAAACCAACAGGGAUUGCCUCAGUAACGGCGAGUGAAGCGGCAACAGCUCAAAUUUGAAAUCUGACCUCUUCGGGGGCCCGAGUUGUAAUUUGAAGAGGGUGUUUCGGGCGAGGCGUCGGCUAAGUCCCUUGGAACAGGCGUCAUAGAGGGUGAGAAUCCCGUAUGCGGCCGGUGACCGGACCCAUGUGAAACCCCUUCGACGAGUCGAGUUGUUUGGGAAUGCAGCUCUAAAUGGGUGGUAUAUUUCAUCUAAAGCUAAAUACCGGCCAGAGACCGAUAGCGCACAAGUAGAGUGAUCGAAAGAUGAAAAGCACUUUGGAAAGAGAGUUAAAAAGUACGUGAAAUUGUUGAAAGGGAAGCGCUUGCGACCAGACCUGACGCCGGGUGAUCAACCGUCGUUCUCGGCGGUGCACUCGCCCGCGCGCAGGCCAGCAUCGGUUCGGGGGGCUGGAUAAAGGCCCCGGGAAUGUAGCUCCCCUCGGGGAGUCUUAUAGCCCGGGGUGCAAUGCGGCCAGCCCGGACCGAGGACCGCGCUUCGGCAAGGAUGCUGGCGUAAUGGUCGUAAGCGGCCCGUCUUGAAACACGGACCAAGGAGUCUAACAUCUAUGCGAGUGUUUGGGUGUCAAACCCGUGCGCGGAAUGAAAGUGAACGGAGGUGGGAACCCCUCGAGGGCGCACCAUCGACCGAUCCAGAUGUAUUCGGACGGAUUUGAGUAAGAGCAUAGCUGUUGGGACCCGAAAGAUGAUGAACUAUACUUGAAUAGGGUGAAGCCAGAGGAAACUCUGGUGGAGGCUCGCAGCGGUUCUGACGUGCAAAUCGAUCGUCAAAUUUGAGUAUAGGG
Molecule: ribosomal RNA, 865 nt
Filed under: Calicium quercinum
Lineage: Eukaryota; Fungi; Ascomycota; Lecanoromycetes; Caliciales; Caliciaceae
Description: LSU rRNA
Rfam family: Eukaryotic large subunit ribosomal RNA
Source: RNAcentral